GCCCACUAGAGGACAGACUAAACAUCCACAGGCCCACUAGAGGACAGACUAAUCAUCCACAGGCCCACUAGAGGGCAGACUAAUCAUCCACAGGCCCACUAGAGGACAGACUAAUCAUCCACAGGCCCACUAGAGGACAGACUAAACAUCCACAGGUCCACUAGAGGACAGACUAAUCAUCCACAGGCCCACUAGAGGACAGACUAAACAUCCACAGGUCCACUGGAGGCCCACUAGAGACAGACUAAUCAUCCACGGGCCCACUAGAGGACAGACUAAUCAUCCACAGGCCCACUAGAGGACAGACUAAACAUCCACAGGCCCACUAGAGGACAGACUAAACAUCCACAGGCCCACUAGAGGACAGACUAAUCAUCCACAGGCCCACUAGAGGACAGACUAAACAUCCACAGGCCCACUAGAGGACAGACUAAACAUCCACAGGCCCACUAGAGGACAGACUAAACAUCCACAGGCCCACUAGAGGACAGACUAAUCAUCCACAGGUCCACUAGAGGACAGACUAAUCAUCCACAGGCCCACUAGAGGACAGACUAAACAUCCACAGGCCCACUAGAGGA
Molecule: long non-coding RNA, 581 nt
Organism: Salvelinus sp. IW2-2015
Lineage: Eukaryota; Metazoa; Chordata; Actinopteri; Salmoniformes; Salmonidae
Source: RefSeq, a predicted model, not a curated record